UUGAACGCUGGCGGCAGGCCUAACACAUGCAAGUCGAGCGCGAAAGUUCUUCGGAAUGAGUAAAGCGGCGGACGGGUGAGUAACGCGUGGGAAUCUGCCUAGUAGUGGGGGACAACAGCCGGAAACGGCUGCUAAUACCGCAUACGCCCUACGGGGGAAAGGGGGGGAUCUUCGGACCUCUCGCUAAUAGAUGAGCCUGGGUCGGAUUAGCUAGUUGGUUGGGCAAAGGGCUACCAAGGCUACGAUCCGUAACUGGUCUGAGAGGAGGAUCAGUCAAACUGGAACUGAGACACGGUCCAGACUCCUACGGGAGGCAGCAGUGGGGAAUAUUGGACAAUGGGGGCAACCCUGAUCCAGCCAUGCCGCGUGUGUGAAGAAGGCCUUAGGGUUGUAAAGCACUUUCAGUGGGGAGAAAGGUUUGUCACCUAAUACGUGAUGAAAUUGAUGUUACCCACAGAAGAAGCACCGGCUAACUCCGUGCCAGCCGCCGCGGUAA
RNAcentral lists this ribosomal RNA (496 nucleotides) under uncultured bacterium. RNAcentral describes it as "partial 16S ribosomal RNA". It matches the Rfam family "Bacterial small subunit ribosomal RNA", at positions 30 to 523 of the family's 1533-position model. The record is from RNAcentral.